GACGAACGCUGGCGGCGUGCUUAACACAUGCAAGUCGAACGGUGAAGCUCCAGCUUGCUGGAGUGGAUCAGUGGCGAACGGGUGAGUAACACGUGAGCAACCUGCCCCUGACUCUGGAAUAAGCGCUGGAAACGGCGUCUAAUACUGGAUACGAGAAGGGUUCGCAUGGGCACUUUCUGGAAAGUUUUUCGGUUGGGGAUGGGCUCGCGGCUUAUCAGCUUGUUGGUGAGGUAAUGGCUCACCAAGGCGACGACGGGUAGCCGGCCUGAGAGGGCGACCGGCCACACUGGGACUGAGACACGGCCCAGACUCCUACGGGAGGCAGCAGUGGGGAAUAUUGCACAAUGGGCGAAAGCCUGAUGCAGCGACGCCGCGUGAGGGAUGACGGCCUUCGGGUUGUAAACCUCUUUCAGCAGGGAAGAAGCGAAAGUGACGGUACCUGCAGAAGAAGCACCGGCUAACUACGUG
Molecule: ribosomal RNA, 468 nt
Filed under: uncultured bacterium
Lineage: Bacteria
Description: partial 16S ribosomal RNA
Rfam family: Bacterial small subunit ribosomal RNA
Source: RNAcentral